UACGUAGGGUGCAAGCGUUAUUCGGAAUUACUGGGCGUAAAGCGUGCGCAGGCGGUUGUGCAAGACAGAUGUGAAAUCCCCGGGCUUAACCUGGGAAUUGCAUUUGUGACUGUACGGCUAGAGUGUGUCAGAGGGGGGUAGAAUUCCACGUGUAGCAGUGAAAUGCGUAGAGAUGUGGAGGAAUACCGAUGGCGAAGGCAGCCCCCUGGGAUAACACUGACGCUCAUGCACGAAAGCGUGGGGAGCAAACAGG
RNAcentral lists this ribosomal RNA (253 nucleotides) under uncultured bacterium. Its description in RNAcentral is "partial 16S ribosomal RNA". It matches the Rfam family "Bacterial small subunit ribosomal RNA", at positions 524 to 776 of the family's 1533-position model. The record is from RNAcentral.